CCUACGUGUGGCUGCAGUGGGGAAUAUUGCACAAUGGGGGAAACCCUGAUGCAGCGACGCCGCGUGAGUGAAGAAGUAAUUCGUUACGUAAAGCUCUAUCAGCAGGGAAGAAACACUGACCUUACGGUCAGCAGACGGUACCUGAGUAAGAAGCCCCGGCUAACUACGUGCCAGCAGCCGCGGUAAUAAGUAGGGGGCAAGCGUUAUCCGGAUUUACUGGGUGUAAAGGGGGCGUAGACGGGGCGCCAAGUCUGGAGGGAAAUGCCGCAGCUUAACUGCGGAACUGCUUUGGAAACUGGCGAACUAGAGUGCGGGAGGGGUAAGCGGAAUUCCUAGUGUAGCGGUGAAAUGCGUAGAUAUUAGGGGGAACACCGGUGGCGAAGGCGGCUUACUGGACCGUAACUGACGUUGAGGCUCGAAAGCGUGGGGAGCAAACAGGAUUAGAUACCCGUGUAGUC
RNAcentral lists this ribosomal RNA (458 nucleotides) under uncultured bacterium. RNAcentral's name for it is "partial 16S ribosomal RNA". It matches the Rfam family "Bacterial small subunit ribosomal RNA", at positions 338 to 795 of the family's 1533-position model. The record is from RNAcentral.